Long non-coding RNA from Labeo rohita (rohu), 794 nucleotides. RefSeq lists it as uncharacterized. The transcript has 2 exons. The record is from RefSeq and is a predicted model, not a curated record. Lineage: Eukaryota; Metazoa; Chordata; Actinopteri; Cypriniformes; Cyprinidae.
CCCUUAAUACGCGCACUGAGGAACGCAUCACCUCUGCCUGUAGACACAAGACGAACGCGUGAAGCUUUCGUUUUUGUCGUUGAAACGCGGUUGAAACUUCUGCCGCUUUGCAGUGUGUAAGCGGCCGAUGCGGUUUUCUUAGCAAGCGUGAAAAACUAAAAGAAUUCUUGUAGCCUCGUAACAUUACGGCUGAACCACUUAUGGCACAGGGACUGUUUUACCCGAUGUCCUUACUGCGUUUCCCUUGCUGUCUGCUGUCUGUCUGUCAGAAAGCUCUCAGAUUUCAUAAAAAAAGAUCUUAAUUUGUGUUCAGAAGAUGAACGAAGGUCUUACGGGGUUGGAACGACAUGAGAUUUCACCCAGACACCACUGACACAAACACCACUCCUGCUGAUUUUGUCAUCACAAAACCACUACGAGUCCUGUCCUGCAACAGUGUGUUUGACACUCAGAAAAUACAGUCACAAGGCUGUACAGUGCACUUCAACAACAGGUAAAAACAAAUUUAAGCUUUUCAAUUUGCCUUAACUGUUAUUUAUAAUUAUUCUUAACUUUUAAAAAGUCGCUUAAAUGUUUCAAGGUGAUCGGUUUCCACAGAAAAAUGUGAGUAUUCUGAAUUUAUUGGGUUUUAUGUGCAGCGGCCGUAUUUUUGACAUCACCUCCUAGAGUGAUAAAACUUAGACAACAUAGGAAGAUGAAUUUAGAGUAAAUAUUUAAUGGGCCCCACUUUAUAUGAGGUAUAAUGGUAUUAUAUGAACACAAUAAGAUCAUUGAACUUUUUUUUUUUUUUUUUU